Molecule: non-coding RNA, 87 nt
Filed under: unclassified sequences
Source: RNAcentral
UAUUUACUGCCACCGGGUAGAAAUGCAAAGCAUUUGUUAAGUACAUCGUUAGGUCUUUGAAGAUGUGCUCAGCAAGUGCGAUUUUUU